This 502-nucleotide ribosomal RNA is filed under the name uncultured Cloacibacterium sp. Its description in RNAcentral is "partial 16S ribosomal RNA". Lineage: Bacteria; Pseudomonadati; Bacteroidota; Flavobacteriia; Flavobacteriales; Weeksellaceae. The record is from RNAcentral.
CACGGAGUUAGCCGGUGCUUAUUCGUAUAGUACCUUCAGCUACCCUCACGAGGGUAGGUUUAUCCCUAUACAAAAGAAGUUUACAACCCAUAGGGCAGUCGUCCUUCACGAGGGAUGGCUGGUUCAGGCUUGCACCCAUUGACCAAUAUUCCUCACUGCUGCCUCCCGUAGGAGUCUGGUCCGUGUCUCAGUACCAGUGUGGGGGAUCACCCUCUCAGGCCCCCUAAAGAUCAUCGCCUUGGUGAGCCGUUACCUCACCAACUAGCUAAUCUUGCGCGUGCCCAUCUCUAUCCGCCGGAGCUUUCAAUAUUAAUUGAUGCCAAUCAAUAUAUUAUGGAGUAUUAAUCUUCCUUUCGAAAGGCUAUCCCCCAGAUAAAGGCAGGUUGCACACGUGUUCCGCACCCGUACGCCGCUCUCUCUACUUUCCGAAAGAAACAAUACCGCUCGGCUUGCAUGUGUUAGCCUCCCGCUAGCGUUCAUCCUGAGCCAGGACUCAAACUCU